AUUGAACGCUGGCGGCAGGCCUAACACAUGCAAGUCGAGCGGAUGAAGGGAGCUUGCUCCUGGAUUCAGCGGCGGACGGGUGAGUAAUGCCAGGAAUCUGCCUGGUAGUGGGGGAUAACGUCCGGAAACGGGCGCUAAUACCGCAUACGUCCUGAGGGAGAAAGUGGGGGAUCUUCGGACCUCACGCUAUCAGAUGAGCCUAGGUCGGAUUAGCUAGUUGGUGGGGUAAAGGCCUACCAAGGCGACGAUCCGUAACUGGUCUGAGAGGAUGAUCAGUCACACUGGAACUGAGACACGGUCCAGACUCCUACGGGAGGCAGCAGUGGGGAAUAUUGGACAAUGGGCGAAAGCCUGAUCCAGCCAUGCCGCGUGUGAAGAAGGUCUUCGGAUUGUAAAGCACUUUAAGUUGGGAGGAAGGGCAGUAAGUUAAUACCUUGCUGUUUUGACGUUACCAACAGAAUAAGCACCGGCUAACUUCGUG
RNAcentral lists this ribosomal RNA (481 nucleotides) under uncultured bacterium. RNAcentral describes it as "partial 16S ribosomal RNA". It matches the Rfam family "Bacterial small subunit ribosomal RNA", at positions 30 to 507 of the family's 1533-position model. The record is from RNAcentral.